RNAcentral lists this unclassified non-coding RNA (370 nucleotides) under Hevea brasiliensis (rubber tree). The record is from RNAcentral. Lineage: Eukaryota; Viridiplantae; Streptophyta; Magnoliopsida; Malpighiales; Euphorbiaceae.
GAUGAUGUUGAUAUUGCGCAAGGGCUUUGCAGUCACUAAAUUCAGAAAAAUAGGUCAAUCUGUUGAAAGGAUUGAAUAAAUCAAACAAUUCCAAUCAAAUGCUGCCAUCAGAACGGAUUGAUAAUAGGAAUUAUUUCAUAUUUUCCAUUAAAUGGAACUCAAAGCCCUUGCGCAAUAUCAACAUCAUCAUCUAGCAGCAUAGACAACAAUGAUGACUCAAAACCCAACAAUAUUCAAAAGAAAAAGAGUGGAAGAGAGCAGCAGAAAUCAAUUCAGUCACUUGUUUUAGCAUCCAUAUACAAUACCACUGGUGGAAAUGACAAAUCGGAUCAAUACACUUUCAACGGGUGUGUAAUCAGCGAGAAAUCAC